GCGGCAGUAGCUCAAUUGGUAGAGCAUCGCGUUGCCAUCGCGAAGGUUGAGAGUUCGAGUCUCUUCUGCCGCUCCA
Molecule: transfer RNA, 76 nt
Filed under: Bacillota bacterium
Lineage: Bacteria; Bacillati; Bacillota
Also listed under: 1 other name
Description: tRNA-Gly
Rfam family: tRNA
About the family: Transfer RNA (tRNA) molecules are approximately 80 nucleotides in length. Their secondary structure includes four short double-helical elements and three loops (D, anti-codon, and T loops).
Source: RNAcentral